Numida meleagris (helmeted guineafowl) is the source of this 2309-nucleotide long non-coding RNA. RefSeq lists it as uncharacterized. Lineage: Eukaryota; Metazoa; Chordata; Aves; Galliformes; Numididae. The record is from RefSeq and is a predicted model, not a curated record. The transcript is spliced from 3 exons.
GUGGAAAGUACUGGCUUGUGCCUUUUAGUGACAGGAAGGAAAACAGUAUAGUAAGGCAUUUAACGCAGGGUAAUGAUCCAAUAAGUUGAAGGAAAUCCUGCCCAAAGGAGGAAUAAUGAAGUGGAUGGCAUGAAGAUGAAGGCCAGGGGGUGCUGGAGUCCAGGAUCUCUUUAAAGCAGUUCAUGUGCUCUGAGAUUUUUCCUCCACUUGUACAAAGAGGAUAUCUACGACUUUCUUAAUUCAGGAAAGCAAAGAAACAUGCCUCACUCCUCCCACUGGCUGGAAACAAACGUAGAAUGCCAUAUCUCUUCAGAAUGCUCUCAAUAGGCUAAGCUCAUGAAAGUCAUUUUACUGUUUCUUCAGAGUGCUCUCAACAACUGAGUCAUCAGUGAGGAAAAGGAUGGAGGGAAUAGAGGAAAGAAAACUGCAAAAAUAUGACAGAACUGAUCAUAAAAGAGGUGGUUUUUGAAAUAGAUUUGAAAGAUAAUCAUUGUCAUUAUAUACGCUGAAGGACAGAAGCUGAGUUCAUGAAAAAAUGUAUGAAGCCAUGAGUAAAUAGCAGUGUUAAAGCAAGAGGUAUGGAUGAGAGCUAGGAUUUGAGAAGAAUCAUACUCUGGAAAGUCAGAAGGCAUAAUCUGUGGAAUGUAAUCUCUUGUUUCCAAAUACUCAGUCACACCUUGCUCCUCCUAGCCUUAUCUCCUGGUCAGUUAGCUCUAGCAGGGACAUAAGUCACUGGAAAACAUGUAGAAGAGGUUCAUGUAGGAGUCUCAGUGAUUAAGAUUAUUUUCAGAGCAGCAUGUUGUAUUGCCUGGUAUAGAGCAAGACAAAAGCAAAUGCUAAAAUGACACUAGUUAAAAUAAAGACAGUAAGAGUUCAGAAGGCUCUUAUUGUAGCGAUGCAAUAAGAAAAAGACAAGGGAAUUUUGUGAUUAGAGAUUGAAAGAGAAAAUGAAAAUACAUUGAUGAGGGAGAAAAAAGUGCCUACAGAGCUGUUUACCCAAAUAAGAUAUUGGAAACAGGGAAGUAAAAACAGCUUUUCAUCAGUCUAAGCAGACCUAGAUAAACAGCACAAGCAAUAUGGUGGAAGGAAGAUCCAGACGUUCUAAUUCAUGUUCACAAAAGCUUCCCACAGCAUGCUGUCAGUGGCCUUUCCAAGGUGCGGAACUAAGAGCAAAGCAUGCUCUUUCUUGCCUGGAAAGGUGGAUGACAGGCAAGUUGUCGCUAUGUUUAUUCCUGUAUUGUGAAGAUAGCAAGAAGCCACAGAGUUUCUUGGCAACCCUUACUUUUGUCCUGAUCGCAGAUGAAUGGAAAAAAUAAAGCAGAUGGAGGAAGGUUUCAUCUGAACAUAAAGAAAAUGUACUGUGCAGAUGAACAAGCACUGGAACAGGUUGCUCAAAGAGCUUGUGGAGUCUCCACCUCUGGAGAUAUUGAAAGGCCAUCUGAACAUGGUCCAGGACAGCUUGCUGCAUGUGGCCCUCCCAGUGCAGGAGGACCAAGUGACCACCUUCCAAUCUCAUCCACUCUGUAACUGAUUCUGUUCAUGAAUCUAUGGAGAUUUUAAACUUAUGUCCCAGCAUUUCCUGUGGUUCUGUCUUAAUUUCAGCUGGGACUGAACUGUUUUCUUCAGAGUCUGCUAUGAUGGCAUGUUUUAGUUUUAGGAGAAAAACAAUGUUGAUAACACACCGAUGUUUGUAGUUGCUGCUGAGCAGUGUGGUACAGAGCCAAGCCCAUUCUCAGUGAAGGCCCCAAGGAACUGGGAGGGAACAGAAUUAGGACAGCUGACUUAAACUGGACAGAGGAAUAUUCCAUACCACAUGACAUCAUGCGGAAGGAGAGUUUUGAAGGGGAUGGGAGUACAUCUCACCCUCGCUUGUUGGGAGGACUAGCUGGGCAUUGGUCAGGGGGUGUUUAGUACUUGCUUGUGCAUUACUUGUUGUAUACAUUCCCAUGUAUAUUUAUCAUAAUUAUUAUACUUUUCCUUUUCUUUAUCUUAGUAAAUUGUUUUAUCUUAACUCGCAAGUUCCAAUUUUUUUCUUUUCCUUUCAAUUCUCCUUCCCAUCCCACUGGGAAGGGGGAGUGAAUGAAUGACUGUGUCAUGCUCAGCCACCUGCCAGGUUAAACCACAACAGUCAUCUUGGUGUCCAGUGUGAGGCUUGUCACAGGGAUUGGACUGACCAUAGCACUGGUUGUAAAGGGUUGUAUUACCCACAGGACCAAAAGACUCUUGUGGUUCUGUUCCAUCCCAGCUCCUUGGGCCCCUUGUGGAGCCCUUGGGCUCUGUACCACGCUGCUUAGCAGCAACUAUAAACA